Molecule: ribosomal RNA, 436 nt
Filed under: uncultured bacterium
Lineage: Bacteria
Description: bacterial SSU rRNA
Rfam family: Bacterial small subunit ribosomal RNA
Source: RNAcentral
GAUGAACGCUGGCGGCGUGCUUAACACAUGCAAGUCGAACGAUGAAGCCCAGCUUGCUGGGUGGAUUAGUGGCGAACGGGUGAGUAACACGUGAGUAACCUGCCCUUAACUCUGGGAUAAGCCUGGGAAACUAGGUCUAAUACCGGAUAGGAGCGCCUACCGCAUGGUGGGUGUUGGAAAGAUUUAUCGGUUUUGGAUGGACUCGCGGCCUAUCAGCUUGUUGGUGAGGUAAUGGCUCACCAAGGCGACGACGGGUAGCCGGCCUGAGAGGGUGACCGGCCACACUGGGACUGAGACACGGCCCAGACUCCUACGGGAGGCAGCAGUGGGGAAUAUUGCACAAUGGGCGAAAGCCUGAUGCAGCGACGCCGCGUGAGGGAUGACGGCCUUCGGGUUGUAAACCUCUUUCAGUAGGGAAGAAGCGAAAGUGACGGUA